Molecule: unclassified non-coding RNA, 75 nt
Filed under: Flavobacterium fontis
Lineage: Bacteria; Pseudomonadati; Bacteroidota; Flavobacteriia; Flavobacteriales; Flavobacteriaceae
Description: Flavo-1 RNA
Source: RNAcentral
UUGCGGUAGGGGGUGAAGUGGAAAGCCCGCAAGCGAAGUAUGAGUGCGGACUUGUAGCGGAACACCCGACGGCAA